This 840-nucleotide ribosomal RNA is filed under the name uncultured rumen bacterium. Its description in RNAcentral is "bacterial SSU rRNA". It matches the Rfam family "Bacterial small subunit ribosomal RNA", at positions 50 to 891 of the family's 1533-position model. The record is from RNAcentral.
UACACAUGCAAGUCGGCACGGCAGCGUAGUAGUGCUUGCACUACUGACGGCGAGUGGCGAACGGGUGAGUAAUGCAUCGGAAUGUACCGAGUAAUGGGGGAUAACUGAUCGAAAGAUUAGCUAAUACCGCAUACGACCUGAGGGUGAAAGCAGGGGAUCUUAGGACCUUGCGUUAUUCGAGCAGCCGAUGUCGGAUUAGGUAGUUGGUGGGGUAAAGGCCUACCAAGCCUGCGAUCCGUAGCGGGUCUGAGAGGAUGAUCCGCCACAUUGGGACUGAGACACGGCCCAAACUCCUACGGGAGGCAGCAGUGGGGAAUUUUGGACAAUGGGGGCAACCCUGAUCCAGCCAUGCCGCGUGUCUGAAGAAGGCCUUCGGGUUGUAAAGGACUUUUGUACGGGAAGAAAAGGGAAGUGAUAAUACCACUUUCUGCUGACGGUACCGUAAGAAUAAGCACCGGCUAACUACGUGCCAGCAGCCGCGGUAAUACGUAGGGUGCGAGCGUUAAUCGGAAUUACUGGGCGUAAAGCGAGCGCAGACGGUUGAUUAAGCCAGAUGUGAAAUCCCCGAGCUUAACUUGGGACGUGCAUUUGGAACUGGUUAGCUAGAGUGUGUCAGAGGGAGGUAGAAUUCCACGUGUAGCAGUGAAAUGCGUAGAGACGUGGAGGAAUACCGAUGGCGAAGGCAGCCUCCUGGGAUAACACUGACGUUCAUGCUCGAAGCGUGGGUAGCAAACAGGAUUAGAUACCCUGGUAGUCCCCCCCUAACGAUGACAUUAGCUGUUGGGUACUAGAUACUUAGUACGUAGCUACGCUGAAUUUCCCCUGGGAGUACGUCCAGAU